RNAcentral lists this ribosomal RNA (764 nucleotides) under Pseudarthrobacter oxydans. RNAcentral describes it as "bacterial SSU rRNA". It matches the Rfam family "Bacterial small subunit ribosomal RNA", at positions 76 to 850 of the family's 1533-position model. Lineage: Bacteria; Bacillati; Actinomycetota; Actinomycetes; Micrococcales; Micrococcaceae. The record is from RNAcentral.
GUGCUUGCACCGGGGAUUAGUGGCGAACGGGUGAGUAACACGUGAGUAACCUGCCCUUAACUCUGGGAUAAGCCUGGGAAACUGGGUCUAAUACCGGAUAUGACUCCUCAUCGCAUGGUGGGGGGUGGAAAGCUUUUUGUGGUUUUGGAUGGACUCGCGGCCUAUCAGCUUGUUGGUGAGGUAAUGGCUUACCAAGGCGACGACGGGUAGCCGGCCUGAGAGGGUGACCGGCCACACUGGGACUGAGACACGGCCCAGACUCCUACGGGAGGCAGCAGUGGGGAAUAUUGCACAAUGGGCGCAAGCCUGAUGCAGCGACGCCGCGUGAGGGAUGACGGCCUUCGGGUUGUAAACCUCUUUCAGUAGGGAAGAAGCGAAAGUGACGGUACCUGCAGAAGAAGCGCCGGCUAACUACGUGCCAGCAGCCGCGGUAAUACGUAGGGCGCAAGCGUUAUCCGGAAUUAUUGGGCGUAAAGAGCUCGUAGGCGGUUUGUCGCGUCUGCCGUGAAAGUCCGGGGCUCAACUCCGGAUCUGCGGUGGGUACGGGCAGACUAGAGUGAUGUAGGGGAGACUGGAAUUCCUGGUGUAGCGGUGAAAUGCGCAGAUAUCAGGAGGAACACCGAUGGCGAAGGCAGGUCUCUGGGCAUUAACUGACGCUGAGGAGCGAAAGCAUGGGGAGCGAACAGGAUUAGAUACCCUGGUAGUCCAUGCCGUAAACGUUGGGCACUAGGUGUGGGGGGACAUUCCACGUUUUCCGCGCCGUA